GCCAACUUCAGAUCCAGUCUCUGGAACUGAUGGCGACCAGACCACUGAGCUGCUCACUGCCUUUCUAGGCUGCCGGGCCAGCCAGUGUAGGUGGUGGUUGGGAGGUUGUUUGUUUGCUCAAACCCGCAGCUUCUGGUCUUUCUGUCUCUCUGGGUCCUGGCGUCCUCGCCGAACAACCUCCUUUCACUGCUCGUGUUAGGGGGUCACCACAGCGGAUCACCAUCCGUGGGCAGCAGCCAACAGUUGGAAGGAUGAACAAAAGUAUGAAAGAAAAAGGGGUUUCAGCAGUUGCUGGGAGGGCUGGUGAUUUCGCAAACUCUGUGCAAGACGCUGGUCUCCGUUCAGCAGACUCAACACCUCUCACCUUAAGCUGUGCCAAACUGCCAGCAGAUAAACUCUGAACAUAGUGGCUUUUCCUCGAGUAUCAGACGCUGCUGCUGCUUUCGAAAUAAGAGCACCGGGUGAUAUAUCCCUCGCUGACAACAUAAUUAAGAGGUGGUUCUUCACUUGCACCAGUUAUAUUUGUAACUUGACAUGUGUUCAUAUCACUCUGACACGAACCUACCUCCUUUGCAAAAAACAUUUUUCCUCUGAUUAUUUUAAACAUGCCUGAAAACCUGGCUUCAAAUCACAAUAGCACCAAAUGUUAAUGACUAAAGAAGGAAGGACAGCAGAGUUCUUUCCUUUUUCUCACACCAAAAUGUGUGGUUACUUUCAGCGCUAGUUUCUGACAGGAAAGAGAAAACUGGAGCAACACCUGUGCAACUUUUAGACCUUCACUCUCCAUGUCCACGACAAUCGGAUGAUCCAGUAUUUUCAGUUUAUGUAUACAGUUUCUUUAAGUGGCUUCAGAUUUAAUGGAAUAUGAGUGUUUGCCAAAUGACGUCAAUGCACAGACCUUUUCCCUCCGACUCGGCUGCAGAGCCAAACAGCUCCACUGAGGAUGAGACCUAAACACCUGACACUCGCACUGGUGCGCACAGGUGUAGCGUUCUCAUGCCAGGUCACCUCGCUCACUCACACAUGCCCCAAACCGCAACCUCCCCCUAAAAUUAAUAAUUUACUGAAACCCAACAAGCCCUCUUGACUCCAUCUCGAGUAGUGCCCCGUGUUCCGUAGCUAAACUGCUUAAAGCAACGAGCAGGAAAAGACUGAGCCCUGAAGCUAAUGACGCUCUGAAUGUGAUACAGAGGUGUUAACAAAUACUUGUAAGCUAAUAGUUACAGGUUGGAGAGACGAUGAUCAGGGGACUCAGAGUGGCUCUGUCCAACUUUCCUGAGGAGAAUUAAUCCAUAGUGCAAAUGUAUUUAACAGUUGCAUUUGAUGUCUGUACUCUGUUGUGUACUUAAAUCAGAACUCACACAAUGUAUACACAAUACACGCUGGAGACAUUAAAUCAGUCCUCAGCUUCUCAACCUAUUAAUCAUGUUUCCUUGUAGUGCUUUUCAAAGGCUAAAAAUAUCUUAUGCAACUCUUAUUUGUUUUCCAACCCACAGUGCAGACUUCCACUAAGAAGUGAAACAUGUAAAUGUUGCGUAUUGUUCAGCCUUAACUGUCUUAUCCUGUCCACAUAUGAUCCGAUUUCUCAUUCACCAUCUGAGCUGAUGAGGAAGU
Long non-coding RNA from Toxotes jaculatrix (banded archerfish), 1614 nucleotides. RefSeq lists it as uncharacterized. NCBI's taxonomy places the organism in Eukaryota, Metazoa, Chordata, Actinopteri, Toxotidae. The record is from RefSeq and is a predicted model, not a curated record. The transcript has 4 exons.